GACGAACGCUGGCGGCGCGCCUAACACAUGCAAGUCGAACGGAGUUAUUUCAGCAGAAGCUUUCGGGUGGACGCAGGGAUAACUUAGUGGCGAACGGGUGAGUAACACGUGAGGAACCUGCCCUGGAGUGGGGGAUAACAGUUGGAAACGGCUGCUAAUACCGCAUAAGCGCACAGUACCGCAUGGUACGGUGUGAAAAACUCCGGUGGUAUGAGAUGGACCCGCGUCUGAUUAGCUAGUUGGUGGGGUAACGGCCUACCAAGGCGACGAUCAGUAGCCGACCUGAGAGGGUGACCGGCCACAUUGGGACUGAGACACGGCCCAA
RNAcentral lists this ribosomal RNA (325 nucleotides) under uncultured bacterium. RNAcentral describes it as "bacterial SSU rRNA". It matches the Rfam family "Bacterial small subunit ribosomal RNA", at positions 28 to 334 of the family's 1533-position model. The record is from RNAcentral.